Non-coding RNA from Salmo salar (Atlantic salmon), 116 nucleotides. Lineage: Eukaryota; Metazoa; Chordata; Actinopteri; Salmoniformes; Salmonidae. The record is from Rfam.
GAUAACAAAAAAAAAAAAGGUACGCCCGAUCUUGUCUGAUCUCGGAAGCUAAGCAGGGUCGGGCCUGGUUAGUACUUGGAUGGGAGACCGCCUGGGAAUACCAGGUGCUGUAAGCA